Molecule: ribosomal RNA, 478 nt
Filed under: uncultured bacterium
Lineage: Bacteria
Description: partial 16S ribosomal RNA
Rfam family: Bacterial small subunit ribosomal RNA
Source: RNAcentral
GAUGAACGCUGGCGGCGUGCUUAACACAUGCAAGUCGAACGGGAAACCUUUUAUUGAAGCUUCGGCAGAUUUAGCUGGUUUCUAGUGGCGGACGGGUGAGUAACGCGUGGGUAACCUGCUUUAUACAGGGGGAUAACAACCAGAAAUGGUUGCUAAUACCGCAUAAGCGCACAGGACCGCAUGGUCCGGUGUGAAAAACUCCGGUGGUAUAAGAUGGACCCGCGUUGGAUUAGCUAGUUGGCAGGGUAACGGCCUACCAAGGCGACGAUCCAUAGCCGGCCUGAGAGGGUGAACGGCCACAUUGGGACUGAGACACGGCCCAGACUCCUACGGGAGGCAGCAGUGGGGAAUAUUGCACAAUGGGGGAAACCCUGAUGCAGCGACGCCGCGUGAAGGAAGAAGUAUCUCGGUAUGUAAACUUCUAUCAGCAGGGAAGAUAGUGACGGUACCUGACUAAGAAGCCCCGGCUAACUACGUG